RNAcentral lists this ribosomal RNA (693 nucleotides) under uncultured bacterium. RNAcentral's name for it is "bacterial SSU rRNA". It matches the Rfam family "Bacterial small subunit ribosomal RNA", at positions 32 to 715 of the family's 1533-position model. The record is from RNAcentral.
AACGCUAGCUACAGGCUUAACACAUGCAAGUCGAGGGGCAUCAGGAAGAAAGCUUGCUUUCUUUGCUGGCGACCGGCGCACGGGUGAGUAACACGUAUCCAACCUGCCCUUUACUCGGGGAUAGCCUUUCGAAAGAAAGAUUAAUACCCGAUAGCAUAAUGAUUCCGCAUGGUUUCAUUAUUAAAGGAUUCCGGUAAAGGAUGGGGAUGCGUUCCAUUAGGUUGUUGGUGAGGUAACGGCCCACCAAGCCUUCGAUGGAUAGGGGUUCUGAGAGGAAGGUCCCCCACAUUGGAACUGAGACACGGUCCAAACUCCUACGGGAGGCAGCAGUGAGGAAUAUUGGUCAAUGGGCGCUAGCCUGAACCAGCCAAGUAGCGUGAAGGAUGAAGGCUCUAUGGGUCGUAAACUUCUUUUAUAUAAGAAUAAAGUGCAGUAUGUAUACUGUUUUGUAUGUAUUAUAUGAAUAAGGAUCGGCUAACUCCGUGCCAGCAGCCGCGGUAAUACGGAGGAUCCGAGCGUUAUCCAGAUUUAUUGGGUUUAAAGGGAGCGUAGGUGGACUGGUAAGUCAGUUGUGAAAGUUUGCGGCUCAACCGUAAAAUUGCAGUUGAUACUGUCAGUCUUGAGUACAGUAGAGGUGGGCGGAAUUCGUGGUGUAGCGGUGAAAUGCUUAGAUAUCACGAAGAACUCCGAUUG